This 412-nucleotide ribosomal RNA is filed under the name uncultured Anaerolineaceae bacterium. RNAcentral's name for it is "bacterial SSU rRNA". It matches the Rfam family "Bacterial small subunit ribosomal RNA", at positions 962 to 1382 of the family's 1533-position model. The record is from RNAcentral. Lineage: Bacteria; Bacillati; Chloroflexota; Anaerolineae; Anaerolineales; Anaerolineaceae.
CGUAACCCUUUACCGUGGGCUUUGACAUUGUUCGUGGUUAGUGAAGCGAAAGCGGAUUCGACCCUUCGGGGAGCGUUCACAGGUGCUGCAUGGCUGUCGUCAGCUCGUGCCGUGAGGUGUUCGGUUAAGUCCGGUAACGAGCGCAACCCUUUGCUGUUAGUUACAAGUGUCUAACGGGACUGCCGGUUUAAUACCGGAGGAAGUGGGGAUGACGUCAAGUCAGCAUGGCCUCUAUGUCCAGGGCUACACACACGCUACAAUGGCCGGUACAGUGGGUUGCCAAACCGCGAGGUGGAGCUAAUCCUCAAAGCCGGUCUCAGUUCGGAUUGUAGGCUGCAACUCGCCUGCAUGAAGUCGGAGUUGCUAGUAACCGCGCGUCAGCUAUAGCGCGGUGAAUACGUUCCCGGGCCUU